UACGUAGGGAGCAAGCGUUGUCCGGAAUCAUUGGGCGUAAAGCGCGCGUAGGUGGCUUCGUAAGUCCGUUGUGAAAGUCAAAGGCUCAACCUUUGAAAGCCGAUGGAUACUGCGGAGCUAGAGUACGGAAGAGGCGAGUGGAAUUCCUGGUGUAGCGGUGGAAUGCGCAGAUAUCAGGUGGAAUACCGGUGGCGAAGGCGGCCAACUGGCCUAGCACUGACGCUGAGAUACGAAAGCGUGGGGAUCAAACAGG
RNAcentral lists this ribosomal RNA (253 nucleotides) under uncultured bacterium. Its description in RNAcentral is "partial 16S ribosomal RNA". It matches the Rfam family "Bacterial small subunit ribosomal RNA", at positions 524 to 776 of the family's 1533-position model. The record is from RNAcentral.